Panicum hallii is the source of this 2827-nucleotide RNA transcript. It is a transcript of the gene named protein MICRORCHIDIA 1-like, with no coding region annotated. The transcript is spliced from 22 exons. The record is from RefSeq and is a predicted model, not a curated record. Lineage: Eukaryota; Viridiplantae; Streptophyta; Magnoliopsida; Poales; Poaceae.
GGGGAACUUGCAAGGGCCUGCAGCUAGUUCCAAUGCCAGUAGCUAUGGCCGGCGGCGGUCGAGUCCUUGAUUGCCGCAGUUUCUGGAAGGCCGGCGCGUACGAGGCCCCCGCCGCCCCCUCCCACGAGUUCCAAGAUGCCCUAGAGACAGGGGACUUCGACCGCGCUCGCGUGCACCCUAAGUUUCUCCACACCAACGCGACCUCCCACAAGUGGGCUUUCGGAGCUAUAGCUGAACUUCUUGACAAUGCGGUGGAUGAGAUAAACAAUGGUGCCACGUUCAUAAAAGUGGAUAAAAGCAUCAAUUUGAAAGACAAUAGCCCAAUGCUAGUUUUCCAAGAUGAUGGAGGAGGUAUGGAUCCUGAAGCUGUUCGUCGAUGCAUGAGUUUAGGAUUCUCAACCAAGAAAUCUAAGACCACUAUUGGCCAGUAUGGAAAUGGCUUUAAGACAAGCACAAUGAGACUUGGUGCUGAUGCGAUUGUUUUUACUCGUGCAAUCCGUGGAAGUUUGUUCUCCUGCAGUGAUGUUACAUUGAGUAUAGGUUUGCUCUCCUACACUUUUUUGAGGAGAACAAUGAAGGAUGACAUAGUUGUCCCAAUGCUCGAUUUUAAAAUCCAAGAUGGGGACAUUGUACCUUUGGUGUAUGGUUCACAGGGUGAUUGGGAUAGUAGCCUAAAGAUAAUACUUGAUUGGUCUCCUUUUUCUUCAAAGGAAGAACUUCUGCAGCAGUUUCAGGAUGUUGGUAGCCAUGGAACUAAAGUGGUAGUGUAUAAUUUGUGGCUGAAUGAUGAUGGCCUUUUGGAACUUGACUUCGAGGAUGACGAUGAGGACAUAUUGCUUAGAGAUCAAGGUAGUGCAAGUGGGGGAGUCACAAAGGGCCAGAAAGAAAUUGUUCAGCAACAUAUAUCCCACAGACUCAGAUUUUCAUUGCGAGCUUACACCUCCAUCCUUUACCUCAAGAAGUUUGAUAAUUUCCGAAUUAUAUUAAGAGGAAAACCUGUUGAACAGAUAUGCAUCAUUGAUGAAUUGAAGUUUAAGAAAGUUGUCACUUACAAACCUCAAGUCUCACAUGAUUCUCGAGUGGUCUCAGUGAAAGUUGAUGUUGGCUUUGCAAAGGAGGCCCCUAUUCUGGGCAUUUUUGGGAUGAAUGUCUACCACAAAAAUCGUCUUAUAAUGCCCUUCUGGAAGGUCCUUCAGGAGGGAUCUAGUAGAGGGAGAAGUGUAGUUGGUGUACUUGAGGCAAAUUUUAUUGAGCCGGCACACGAUAAACAAGAUUUUGAGAGGACUCCACUAUUUAUUCGUCUAGAAACAAAACUUAGACAAAUUAUUGUUGAUUUCUGGAAAGAAAAGUGUCAUUUGAUUGGUUAUCAGCCAACUGAUCCACAUUUAAGAUCCCAGUAUAAGGCCACCCUUAAAGAUUCAGGUGGUCCAGCUCAGGUUCACCAUAAAGCUUCCACUGCCCGGAGGACUGCAGGGCUGUCGUCAAAUUUGCUACCAGAGACAUAUGACGACAUAGCAGCUGUUGGGUUGGCAAAUAAUGGUUCUCAUUUGCAGUCAUGUGGCCAAGCGGAAGAAAACAAUAUGGAGUCAGAAGGCUUGGAUGAGGAUCUGGUAGAGUUUGGCUCUGGUGUUCUCGAUCCCAAUUUUGUUGAGAAGCUGAGCGAAGAAAACAUUGCGCUGUUUACAAGGAUAGCUUUGGGAAACUAUUUAGCACCACGGAAUGUUCAGCUCACCGGCGUGAAGAGCUUCGACAACAAGAUACACAGUUGAAGCGGAAGAUUGGGGACCUGGAGCAUGAACUGGAGGAAACAAAAAGGAAGUGCGGUCAGCUUGCUGCUGAGCUGAAGGUGCGAAAGAAUCAGCAGAAUCUUCCUUACAUGUGAAGCGGCCAACACAUGAGCAGCUAACUUGUAGGUCUAGAAAUUGUCUGGGGCUCAAAUGGAAUUAGCUAGCUUUUACUCCAAAAAAUGAUCUUGUUAAGAGUGUAGAUUGCAAUUUGAGUUUGAAAUUUUCAAAUUCUGAUCGAUGGGCAUUGAUUUUGGCGCCAAAUAGACUUGUUUGUAUGGUAGCUGUAAUAGAGAGGGAGGUUUAGGGGUGGGAACCAAUCAAUUUGUUUUUUCCUGGUUAGUUCCAUUUUCUUGACUCAAGGAAUAAAAUUAGUUUAGUGCAUCAUCAGUUCAUUGUAAUUACCAUGCAAUUACAAAUAAGAAUUUGGUUAUCACUUGAGAAAUACUACCUCUGUUCUUAAAUAUAUGACAGACUUUUUUCGUUCAUUUGACUUUUCAUCUUUCCUAUAAAUUUUUAUACAUAUAGGUAAAUCUACAAGUCAAACCUAAAGUAUAUCUGAUGAUAGAUCUAAUGAUACUUAUUUUAAUUUAUUUGACUAAUAGAGUAAGUAAAUAUUGUUGUUCUAAAUUCAGAAAAAAGUCAAUGGUGUCAUAUAUUUAAGAACAGAGGUAGUAUGGAAUUAAGGGUCAACUUGUCCUAACUUGAUCUAAAAAUGCCCUUGCUUGCUUUUCUUUUAAUGCAAAAAAGCACUCAAUUAUUUCAUGAUUAAAGUACUGACGACACAUAAAGUGGUUCAGGGAGGUCAUAUCUACUUUUCAAUCUACAACUUUGAUUUUCUGCCUGUUCUUUGCAUUUUGUUCAUUUUGAGCUGCCUUGUCACUGAUCACAUGAAGUACUGACGACAGAAGGCAUAUUUAUUGGGGGGCAUCAAAUGAUAAACUUAAUCAAUAAUGCCAACCAUUGUAACUUCAAAUUUCGUCUUUAAUAAAAUGGUGACCUAACAAGUAGACAUUUUUUUCUGUUUGUUAGUAAGCAAGCUU